Malus domestica (apple) is the source of this 285-nucleotide non-coding RNA. The record is from RefSeq and is a predicted model, not a curated record. NCBI's taxonomy places the organism in Eukaryota, Viridiplantae, Streptophyta, Magnoliopsida, Rosales, Rosaceae.
CGUCACCGUCGAAGUGCCCGACCAUUCUAGCUUUGAAAUUUCUAAUGCCGGGUGCUUCUCUGCAUUUCGUUCUCUAAAACUUUGGAACACUAUGAGCAAUGAGCUUUCUGCAGUUUGAUUAUGUCUAAUGCUAGACAUGAGCAAGAAGCAUACUGGAACAAUGAGCACAGAUUGGCCUACACAUCUGAGAUCUGCACCGCCUCUGAGGGUGACCGCUAUGAGAAAUCGGUCAUUUUCCCAUUACUCUCCCUGGUUUUUAUUGCUUUUAAAGUUCCAAUAUUUAAU